This 233-nucleotide long non-coding RNA is filed under the name Hordeum vulgare. RNAcentral describes it as "long non-coding RNA (HVUL_LNC019394)". Lineage: Eukaryota; Viridiplantae; Streptophyta; Magnoliopsida; Poales; Poaceae. The record is from RNAcentral.
GGGCGAGUAAUAGUAGUAGGACAAACAACAUAAGCCUUUUCCAAUAAAUUUAUUGAGCCCGAAGCAUCACACCAGCUAAAAGACAGAUAUCUUGUUCCAUAUAAUCCAACAAUUGGGCCCUAUUAUCCUUCAGAGAAGACACUUGAACCUUGUCAUGUGCUUUUGAGCUCUUGAACCUAAGUGCGGACAUAAAGUCUUAGCCAAUGUUUCUAGACUAUUAGGGAGUAGAGUGU